GAUCUGUUUAGCUAACUGAUGGAGCUAACAGGUGGAGCUAACAGGUUUAGCUAACAGGUGGAGCUAACAGGUUUAGCUAACAGGUUUAGCUAACAGGUGGAGCUAACAGGUGGAGCUAACAGGUUUAGCUAACAGGUUUAGCUAACAGGUGGAGCUAACAGGUUUAGCUAACAGGUGGAGCUAACAGGUGGAGCUAACAGGUUUAGCUAACAGGUGGAGCUAACAGGUUUAGCUAACAGGAUUAGCUAACAGGUGGAGCUAACAGGUUUAGCUAACAGGUUUAGCUAACAGGUUUAGCUAACAGGUAGAGCUAACAGGUUUAGCUAACAGGUGGAGCUAACAGGUUUAGCUAACAGGUUUAGCUAACAGGUGGAGCUAACAGGUUUAGCUAACAGGUUUAGCUAACAGGUGGAGCUAACAGGUGGAGCUAACAGGUGGAGCUAACAGGUUUAGCUAACAGGUUUAGCUAACAGGUGGAGCUAACAGGUUUAGCUAACAAGUUUAGCUAACAGGUGGAGCUAACAGGUUUAGCUAACAGGUGGAGCUAACAGGUUUAGCUAACAGGUUUAGCUAACAGGUGGAGCUAACAGGUUUAGCUAACAGGUGGAGCUAACAGGUUUAGCUAACAGGUUUAGCUAACAGGUGGAGCUAACAGGUUUAGCUAACAGGUUUAGCUAACAGGUGGAGCUAACAGGUUUAGCUAACAGGUUUAGCUAACAGGUGGAGCUAACAGGUUUAGCUAACAGGUGGAGGCCUCAUUCACAGGUUCUGGUUGGGACUGAAUGGUGAAAACUUCAACGUAACAAACCUGAUGAACGACUCGAUCUGCUUCAGUAGGAAAAUCUUUCGGUUCCUGUUAUUAUUAACUGAGUUUCUGUCUGAUUGUUGUGUGAAGCAGGAGAUCCGGUCAGUUUCUCUGGCCUCGGCGUUACAGUGAAGUCACUGAGUUGGUUCUUCGUCUCUCAUGACGAUCCGUGUCUCUGCUGUCUGCUCUGUAAGUAGAUUAUCAAACUCUGAAUGAAUGAAUGAAUGAAUGAGUACAAACUGGACCUGAGUUCGGCUCCAGGCUCUUUCUCAGUGAGCAGAGACUUGGAAUAAAUACUGAUUAGAAAAUAUUCUCUCUCUGGUUCUUUGGGCUUGAAACAGUUCUAUGGCAAGCCGUUUUAACAUAAAUUCGGUUUCGUCUGACUAUCCGUAAUUACAUCCUAGAUAUCUAAAAAUGCAUUUUGACUAGACAAAAUUACAUUUUGACUAUCUGGAAUGGUAAUUUAAGAUAUCUGUAUUUACAAUAUGACUAGGAAGAAUAAUAAUUUAAGACAUUUUCAAUUACAUUUUGACGAGUCAAAAUUCCUUUCAAGAUAUCUCAAAUUACGACGCUGGAUCCGUCAUUUGACGGGAAACAUCCGUAUUUACAAUUUAAGAUAUCUUAAAUGGAAAAGCUGAAUAAUUCAAGAUAUCUCUAAUUCAUUUAGAGAGGAAUUUUGACUAAUCAAACUUACAAUUCAAGAUAUUUUUUAUUUAGUUUUGUCUACACUUUAUUUGCUUUUAAGAUAUCUAUAAUUUAGUUUUCACUAGUCAAAACUACA
This is a long non-coding RNA of Xiphophorus hellerii (green swordtail), 1586 nucleotides long. RefSeq lists it as uncharacterized. NCBI's taxonomy places the organism in Eukaryota, Metazoa, Chordata, Actinopteri, Cyprinodontiformes, Poeciliidae. The transcript has 3 exons. The record is from RefSeq and is a predicted model, not a curated record.